GGAGAGAGAGGGGGUAAGAGGGAGAGAGAGAGUAUAAGUGAGCAACAGUCGGUUUAUGGCUCAAUCUCAUAAGCAAUAAGAGCCACCAAAGACUUUUAUGAGCAAGGUGGUGACAUAACAAAAGUGAGGUUUGGGAGAUCUGGCUUUCUAAAAUGAAUCACCAAGACUUCCUUAACUCUUGCCAGGAGGCAAGAAGGCCAGGGAAAGACUUUGAGAUGUUAGCAGUCAGGGACAGGGUCCAG
Non-coding RNA from Ceratotherium simum simum (southern white rhinoceros), 242 nucleotides. The record is from RefSeq and is a predicted model, not a curated record. Lineage: Eukaryota; Metazoa; Chordata; Mammalia; Perissodactyla; Rhinocerotidae.